GACGAACGCUGGCGGCGUGCUUAACACAUGCAAGUCGAACGGAAAGGCCCUGCUUUUGUGGGGUGCUCGAGUGGCGAACGGGUGAGCAACACGUGAGUAACCUGCCCUUGACUUUGGGAUAACUUCAGGAAACUGGGGCUAAUACCGGAUAGGAGCUCCUGCUGCAUGGUGGGGGUUGGAAAGUUUCGGCGGUUGGGGAUGGACUCGCGGCUUAUCAGCUUGUUGGUGGGGUAGUGGCUUACCAAGGCUUUGACGGGUAGCCGGCCUGAGAGGGUGACCGGCCACAUUGGGACUGAGAUACGGCCCAGACUCCUACGGGAGGCAGCAGUGGGGAAUAUUGCACAAUGGGCGGAAGCCUGAUGCAGCAACGCCGCGUGCGGGAUGACGGCCUUCGGGUUGUAAACCGCUUUCGCCUGUGACGAAGCGUGAGUGACGGUAAUGGGUAGAGAAGCACCGGCUAACUACGUG
Molecule: ribosomal RNA, 468 nt
Filed under: uncultured bacterium
Lineage: Bacteria
Description: partial 16S ribosomal RNA
Rfam family: Bacterial small subunit ribosomal RNA
Source: RNAcentral